AACACCAAAAAUUUAACCCCAAUCUGCCUUUGCGGCGCCGCCUGUCGACUACCAUUCCCAGUGCCAGGCCCACCCCCUUUGCCCGUGUCCACCACUGCAUGCAGAAGCACUGCCAUCAUGUCUGACAAAUUGCCCUACAAAGUCGCUGACAUCAGCCUGGUGGACUGGGGAUGCAAGGCCACGGACCUUGCAGAGAACGAGAUGCCAGGCCUGAUGUGCAUGAGGGAGAUGUACUUGGCCUCCAAGCUGCUGAAGGGCGCCCGCAUCGCCAGCUGCCUGUACAUGACUAUGGAACCUGCUGUCCUCAUUGCGACCCUCAUCGCCCUGGGUGCUGAGGUGCUGAAGUGCAGUGGUCUACCUGCAACAUCUUCUCCACCUAGGACCAUGCAGCAGCUGCCAUUGCCAAGGCAGGCAUUCCAGUGUAUGCCUGGAAGGGUGAGACUGACCAGGAGUACCUGUGGUUCAUUGAGCAGACGUACUUCAAGGAUGGGUCUCUCAACAUGGUUUUGGAUAAUAGUGGUGACCUUACCAACCUUAUCCACACCAAGAACCCACAGCUCCUAUUGGGCAUCUGAUGCAUCUCUGAGGAGACCACAACUGAGGUCCACAACCUAUACAAGAUGAUGGCCAAUGGGAUCCUGAAAGUGCCCACCAUCAAUGUCAAUGACUCUGUCACCAAGAGCAAGUUUGACAACCUCUAUGGCUGCAGGGAGUCCCUCAUUGAUGGCAUCAAACGGGCCACAGAUGUGAUGAUUGCAGGCAAGGUGGCAGUAGUAGCAGGCUAUGGUGAUAUAGGCAAAGGCUGUGCCCAGGCUCUGAGAGGUUUCGGGCCCACGUCAUCACCACCAAGGCUCCCAUCAUCACACUACAGGCUCCCAUGGAGGGCUGUCAAGAGGGCAACAUCUUUGUCACCACCACAGGCUGUAUUGACAUAAUUCUUGGUCGGCACUUUGAGCAGAUGAAGGAUGAUGCUGUCAUGUGUAACACUGGACACUUUGAUGUGGAGACAGAUGUCAAGUGGCUUAAUGAGAAUGCUGUAAAGAAGGUGAACAUUAAGCCCCAGGUGGAUUGAUACUUGCUGAAGAAUGGGUGCCGCAUCAUCCUGCUGGACGAGGGCCGGCUGGUCAACCUAGGUUGUGCCAUGGGCCACCGCAGCUUCUUGGUGAGCAAUUCCUUCACCAACCAGGUUCAGCACAUAUUGAACUUUGGACUCACCCAGACAAGUACCCCAUUGGGGUUCACUUCCUGCCUAAAAAGCUGGAUGAGGCAAUGGCUGAAGCCCACCUGGGUAAGCUGAACGUGAAGCUGACCAAGCUGACUAAGAAGCAGGCCAAGUACCUGGGUAUGCCCCGUGAUGGCCCCUUCAAGCCUGAUCACUACCGCUACUGAGAGACAGGCCUGCUCUGCACCUUUCAGCUGCUGUCAUUGCCCAGGCCCCACCUCACCUCCCCAAGAUCAGAUGGUACCAACUCUGAGACUGGUUUGUCUAUGUGCCUCUACUGACUCCCUGGGGCUGUUCACUCAAGUCUGCGGCUUCUGCUGAAUCCCUCAACUGCUCUAAGUGUGGCAGGGGGAAUUGAGAGGGCUCUCCUCAAGGGCUGCUCAUGAGAGAAGGAUAUAUCUGCAGUAUACCAUGAGCUCGGUGGUCCUGGAACUGCUCACUAGUCAGUCCUUUAGGCUGGAAGUUGGUAGUGGUGGUCACAAAACCCAUGUAUCUUAUCCUCUAGACUUUUCACCUAGCCUGUGGGCCCAUGUGUUUGGUUUACAGGUUAACUAGUCCAUCAGACCAUGACAGAUGAGAAUAAGCUUUUUUUUUUUUUUUUUUUUGAAAU
Molecule: RNA transcript, 1832 nt
Organism: Otolemur garnettii (small-eared galago)
Lineage: Eukaryota; Metazoa; Chordata; Mammalia; Primates; Galagidae
Gene name: adenosylhomocysteinase-like
Exons: 1
Source: RefSeq, a predicted model, not a curated record